CCCGGCGAGGGGAGUGAAAAAGAACCUGAAACCGUGUACGUACAAGCAGUGGGAGCACGCUUCGGCGUGUGACUGCGUACCUUUUGUAUAAUGGGUCAGCGACUUAUAUUCUGUAGCAAGGUUAACCGAAUAGGGGAGCCGAAGGGAAACCGAGUCUUAACUGGGCGUUAAGUUGCAGGGUAUAGACCCGAAACCCGGUGAUCUAGCCAUGGGCAGGUUGAAGGUUGGGUAACACUAACUGGAGGACCGAACCGACUAAUGUUGAAAAAUUAGCGGAUGACUUGUGGCUGGGGGUGAAAGGCCAAUCAAACCGGGAGAUAGCUGGUUCUCCCCGAAAGCUAUUUAGGUAGCGCCUCGUGAAUUCAUCUCCGGGGGUAGAGCACUGUUUCGGCAAGGGGGUCAUCCCGACUUACCAACCCGAUGCAAACUGCGAAUACCGGAGAAUGUUAUCACGGGAGACACACGGCGGGUGCUAACGUCCGUCGUGAAGAGGGAAACAACCCAGACCGCCAGCUAAGGUCCCAAAGUCAUGGUUAAGUGGGAAACGAUGUGGGAAGGCCCAGACAGCCAGGAUGUUGGCUUAGAAGCAGCCAUCAUUUAAAGAAAGCGUAAUAGCUCACUGGUCGAGUCGGCCUGCGCGGAAGAUGUAACGGGGCUAAACCAUGCACCGAAGCUGCGGCAGCGACGCUUAUGCGUUGUUGGGUAGGGGAGCGUUCUGUAAGCCUGUGAAGGUGUGCUGUGAGGCAUGCUGGAGGUAUCAGAAGUGCGAAUGCUGACAUAAGUAACGAUAAAGCGGGUGAAAAGCCCGCUCGCCGGAAGACCAAGGGUUCCUGUCCAACGUUAAUCGGGGCAGGGUGAGUCGACCCCUAAGGCGAGGCCGAAAGGCGUAGUCGAUGGGAAACAGGUUAAUAUUCCUGUACUUGGUGUUACUGCGAAGGGGGGACGGAGAAGGCUAUGUUGGCCGGGCGACGGUUGUCCCGGUUUAAGCGUGUAGGCUGGUUUUCCAGGCAAAUCCGGAAAAUCAAGGCUGAGGCGUGAUGACGAGGCACUACGGUGCUGAAGCAACAAAUGCCCUGCUUCCAGGAAAAGCCUCUAAGCAUCAGGUAACAUCAAAUCGUACCCCAAACCGACACAGGUGGUCAGGUAGAGAAUACCAAGGCGCUUGAGAGAACUCGGGUGAAGGAACUAGGCAAAAUGGUGCCGUAACUUCGGGAGAAGGCACGC
This 1224-nucleotide ribosomal RNA is filed under the name Escherichia coli. RNAcentral's name for it is "partial 23S ribosomal RNA". It matches the Rfam family "Bacterial large subunit ribosomal RNA", at positions 525 to 1751 of the family's 2925-position model. Lineage: Bacteria; Pseudomonadati; Pseudomonadota; Gammaproteobacteria; Enterobacterales; Enterobacteriaceae. The record is from RNAcentral.